GACGGAGGAUGCAAGCGUUAUCCGGAAUUAUUGGGCGUAAAGCGUCCGCAGGUGGCAGUUCAAGUCUGCUGUCAAAGACCGGGGCUUAACUUCGGAAAGGCAGUGGAAACUGAACAGCUAGAGUAUGGUAGGGGCAGAGGGAAUUCCUGGUGUAGCGGUGAAAUGCGUAGAGAUCCGGAAGAACACCGGAGGCGAAGGCGGCUUGCUGGGCGUAGUCUGACGCUGAGGCGCGAAAGCGUGGGGAGCGAACAGG
RNAcentral lists this ribosomal RNA (253 nucleotides) under uncultured bacterium. RNAcentral's name for it is "partial 16S ribosomal RNA". It matches the Rfam family "Bacterial small subunit ribosomal RNA", at positions 524 to 776 of the family's 1533-position model. The record is from RNAcentral.